UGGGGAAUAUUGCACAAUGGAGGGAACUCUGAUGCAGCGACGCCGCGUGAACGAAGAAGGCUUUCGAGUCGUAAAGUUCUUUUAUAUGGGAAGAUAAUGACGGUACCAUAAGAAAAAGCCCCGGCUAACUACGUGCCAGCAGCCGCGGUAAUACGUAGGGGGCUAGCGUUGUCCGGAAUCACUGGACGUAAAGGGUUCGCAGGCGGAAAUGCAAGUCAGGUGUAAAAGGCAGUAGCUUAACUACUGUAAGCAUUUGAAACUGCAUAACUUGAGAAGAGUAGAGGUAAGUGGAACUUUUAGUGUAGCGGUGAAAUGCGUAGAUAUUAAAAAGAAUACCGGUGGCGAAGGCGACUUACUGGGCUCAUUCUGACGCUGAGGAACGAAAGCGUGGGUAGCAAACAGG
This 403-nucleotide ribosomal RNA is filed under the name bacterium. RNAcentral describes it as "partial 16S ribosomal RNA". It matches the Rfam family "Bacterial small subunit ribosomal RNA", at positions 355 to 776 of the family's 1533-position model. The record is from RNAcentral.